Molecule: ribosomal RNA, 253 nt
Filed under: uncultured bacterium
Lineage: Bacteria
Description: partial 16S ribosomal RNA
Rfam family: Bacterial small subunit ribosomal RNA
Source: RNAcentral
UACGUAGGGGGCUAGCGUUGUCCGGAUUUAUUGGGCGUAAAGAGCGUGUAGGCGGCCAGAUAGGUCUGCUGUGAAAACUCGAGGCUCAACCUCGAGAUGUCGGCGGAAACCAUUUGGCUAGAGUCCGGAAGAGGAAAGUGGAAUUCCUGGUGUAGCGGUGAAAUGCGCAGAUAUCAGGAGGAACACCGGUGGCGAAGGCGGGUCUCUGGGCAGUAACUGACGCUGAGGAGCGAAAGCGUGGGGAGCGAACAGG